CUCAUCUGCCUGCGCAGAGGGAUGUAGCUGACUACAGCCUCCUCAGAGGGUCUCCCCAGGCAGGACCUCAGGCUUGGAUUCUAGGAACCUCUUUGGAGAUAGCCCAGAUAGAUGGGCAACGUCCUGACAGGUUAGCCAGGCAUCUUGAUUCCCUCUUCCCUAAUUCCAACUCCUAACUUCCAGCCCCUCCCCCUGACCCUUCCCCUCCACUGGCUUCUAUCACCCCCAGCUCACCCACAGGGUCCCCUCAUUCAGACCCAUGUAUGCAGGCCCUAGUCCUCACUUUCCAACAGUUCCUUCUAGCCCAGGCCUGGUGACUGGCUUCUGCAGAGAAUGUUAGAGCUGAAAGGACCCUAAAGAGCCACCACUCUGCAUUUUACACACGAAGAAACCAUGACCCAGAGAGACUGUGACAGAUCCAGGGCUACCAUUUGGUAAUGGCAGAGACAGACUGGUUUCCAGGAAUUCCGGAAACGUUUGCUCCACCAACCUGCACACAGAAAGUCAAAUUAAGGAGGUCCUUGGAGAAGGUCAAACAGGGAGAAUGGACUCCACUGUCACUGCCCCAAAACAAGACAAAUGCGGAUACCGAGGGGAUGGAGUACCUGGGAUUUACAACAAUACAGCAAGAUUCAAAACCUGGCUGAGACCUGGCGCAGUGGCUCACAUCUGUAAUCCCAGCACUUUAGGAGGCCAAGGUGGGUGAAUUGCCUGAGGUCAGGAGUUCAAGACAAGCCUGACCAACAUGGUGAAACCCUGCCUCUGCUAAAAAUACAAAAAUUAUUCAGGCGUGGUAGUGCAUGCCUGCAAUCCCAGUUAGUCUUCUCAAGAUUCUUCCCUUGUGAAGCUUCUAUUGUAUUUUGGGUUUUUUGUUUUGUUUUGUUGUUUUUUUAAGAGAGGCAGGAUCUUCUUCUGUCACCCAGGCUAGAGUGCAGUACUGCGAUCAUAGUUCACUGCAGCCUCCACUUCCUGGGCUCAAACGAUCCUCCCACCUCAGCCUCCUGAGUAGCUGGGACUAUAGGCAUGUGCCACCGUGCCUAGCUAAUUUUUAAGAAAUUGUUUUGUAGAGACGGGGUCUCGUUAUGUUUUCCAGGGUGGUCUCAAACUCCUGGACUCAAGCAGUCUUCCCACCUCAGCUUCCCAAAGUGUUGGGAUUACAGGCGUAAACCACCAUACUCAGUCAUUAUAUUUUAUUCUUAUAUUUGUUUAUAACUCCAUCUCAAGACAAUUGUUCACCAACUGGAUUUUGAGGUCUCUGUAUCUUCCAAGAAUUUAGGACCCCUUAGCCUAAAGCAGGACUGACUUAAGGACCCUUUGUGUGGUAGACCUUACUAUUGGACAAACAUUAUACUUCCCUGCCCCAGGAGAGUUGAGGUUUGGCCAUAUGACUUGCUUUGGCCAAUGAAACGUGAGCAGCAGCGACAGGCGUCACUUCUAGACAGAAGUUUUAAGAAUUAGUGAGUGAUUCCAUGUGUCGAUCUUUUUUCCCUCUGCUGUGAAACCAUAAGUGCUCCAGAUCCAGGAGUCCCGGUGUCAUGCCAUCAGCCCAGGAGUGAAAUCAACAGAGCAGUCCAUGACCGACUCAUAAUGAACAUGUAUUACAAAUGAAAAAUAACCUUUCUUAUUGUAAGCCACCAAGAUUUUAUGAUUGUUAUCACAGCAUAACCACACCCACCUUGAUGUUGUUUUUGUACACUAGUUGUGUCCAAUAAAGUUGAUUAGACAGGUUGUUUUCUAUCUCCCUACUGACUUUUUUUUUUUUUUUUUUUUUGAGACAGGGCCUCGCUCUGUGGCCCAAGCCGGAGAGCAGUGGCGCGAUCCCAGCUCACUGCAGCCUCAACCUCGCCGACUCAAGCGAUCCUUCCACCUCAGCCUUUCAAGGAGCUGGGACCACAGGUGCAUGCCACCACACCCGGCUAAUUUAUUAUGUUGCCCAGGUUGGUCUCGAACUCCUGAGCACAGGCGAUCUGCCUGCUUCGACCUCACAAAAUACUGAGAUUAUAGGAGUGAGCCACCGUGCCUGGCCUCCCUACUGACUUUUCACUGGGAAAUGAUCGACUGAUUCCGGUAGAUGACACUAAACCUUCCAUAGACUACAUGUAGCUUCAUUUGUUAUAUUCAUGGCUCUCCCACACUGUUCUUCCUGCCACUUCUAAAGGACAAGGCUUUAUCAAUCUGGGUUGUAGUGUCCCAUUUUUUAAAUUGGUGGGACCAUUUAAUUCACACUUUCAUGUAUCCUAGCCUGAACAUUCAAGGUGAGUCGACUGGUUGUAUCAAGGAUACCCACAUCC
Molecule: long non-coding RNA, 2291 nt
Organism: Cercocebus atys (sooty mangabey)
Lineage: Eukaryota; Metazoa; Chordata; Mammalia; Primates; Cercopithecidae
Source: Ensembl